UGGGGUGUGGCUCAGUGGGACAGCACUUGCCUGCCCACGCCAGGCCCUGGGUUCCAUCCCCAGCACAGCAC
This 71-nucleotide transfer RNA is filed under the name Marmota monax (woodchuck). RNAcentral's name for it is "tRNA.Undet". Lineage: Eukaryota; Metazoa; Chordata; Mammalia; Rodentia; Sciuridae. The record is from RNAcentral.